This 492-nucleotide ribosomal RNA is filed under the name uncultured bacterium. Its description in RNAcentral is "partial 16S ribosomal RNA". It matches the Rfam family "Bacterial small subunit ribosomal RNA", at positions 29 to 507 of the family's 1533-position model. The record is from RNAcentral.
AGUGAACGCUGGCGGUAGGCCUAACACAUGCAAGUCGAACGGCAGCACAGUAAGAGCUUGCUCUUACGGGUGGCGAGUGGCGGACGGGUGAGGAAUACAUCGGAAUCUACUUUUUCGUGGGGGAUAACGUAGGGAAACUUACGCUAAUACCGCAUACGACCUACGGGUGAAAGCAGGGGAUCUUCGGACCUUUCGCGAUUGAAUGAGCCGAUGUCGGAUUAGCUAGUUGGCGGGGUAAAGGCCCACCAAGGCGACGAUGCGUAGCUGGUCUGAGAGGAUGAUCAGCCACACUGGAACUGAGACACGGUCCAGACUCCUACGGGAGGCAGCAGUGGGGAAUAUUGGACAAUGGGCGCAAGCCUGAUCCAGCCAUACCGCGUGGGUGAAGAAGGCCUUCGGGUUGUAAAGCCCUUUUGCUGGGAAAGAAAAGCAGCAGGUUAAAACCCCGCUGUUCUGACGGUACCCAAAGAAUAAGCAACGGCUAACUUCGUG